CCGGAAUUAUUGGGUUUAAAGGGUGCGCAGGCGGGAGAUUAAGUCGGCGGUGAAAUUUUGCAGCUCAACUGUAAAAGUGCCUUCGAUACUGGUUUCCUUGAGUGUGGAUGAAGUAGGCGGAAUUUGUGGUGUAGCGGUGAAAUGCUUAGAUAUCACGAGGAACUCCGAUUGCGCAGGCAGCUUACUAAACCACUACUGACGCUCAGGCACGAAGGCGUGGGGAUCAAACAGGAUUAGAUACCCAGGUAGUCCACGCAGUAAACGAUGAUUACUGGCUGUUUGCGAUACAAUGUAAGCGGCUGAGCGAAAGCGUUAAGUAAUCCACCUGGGGAGUACGUUCGCAAGAAUGAAACUCAAAGGAAUUGACGGGGGCCCGCACAAGCGGAGGAACAUGUGGUUUAAUUCGAUGAUACGCGAGGAACCUUACC
RNAcentral lists this ribosomal RNA (428 nucleotides) under uncultured Bacteroidota bacterium. RNAcentral's name for it is "bacterial SSU rRNA". It matches the Rfam family "Bacterial small subunit ribosomal RNA", at positions 545 to 975 of the family's 1533-position model. The record is from RNAcentral. Lineage: Bacteria; Pseudomonadati; Bacteroidota.